CAAAAAUUCAACAUAUUCUGAUUC
This 24-nucleotide microRNA is filed under the name Ananas comosus (pineapple). Its description in RNAcentral is "microRNA s0350_c18a". Lineage: Eukaryota; Viridiplantae; Streptophyta; Magnoliopsida; Poales; Bromeliaceae. The record is from RNAcentral.